GUGGGGAAUAUUCCGCAAUGGACGAAAGUCUGACGGAGCAACGCCGCGUGAGUGAUGAAGGUUUUCGGACUGUAAAGCUCUGUUGUUUAGGACGAAAGUGCCUGUUGCGAACAGUUACAGGUAUUGACGGUACUAAACGAGGAAGCCACGGCUAACUACGUGCCAGCAGCCGCGGUAAUACGUAGGUGGCAAGCGUUGUCCGGAAUUAUUGGGCGUAUAGAGCAUGUAGGCGGAGAUUUAAGUCUGUUGUGAAAAUGCGGGGCUCACACCCGUAUUGCGAUGGAAACUGAAUUUCUUGAGUGCAGGAGAGGAAAGGGGAAUUCCCAGUGUAGCGGUGAAAUGCGUAGAUAUUGGGAGGAACACCAGUGGCGAAGGCGCCUUUCUGGACUGUGUCUGACGCUGAGAUGCGAAAGCCAGGGUAGCGAACGGGAUUAGAAACCCUAGUAGUCC
Molecule: ribosomal RNA, 450 nt
Filed under: uncultured bacterium
Lineage: Bacteria
Description: partial 16S ribosomal RNA
Rfam family: Bacterial small subunit ribosomal RNA
Source: RNAcentral